This 477-nucleotide ribosomal RNA is filed under the name uncultured bacterium. RNAcentral's name for it is "partial 16S ribosomal RNA". It matches the Rfam family "Bacterial small subunit ribosomal RNA", at positions 28 to 507 of the family's 1533-position model. The record is from RNAcentral.
GAUUAACGCUGGCGGCGUGCAUAACACAUGCAAGUUGAACGAUGAAACUUAGUAGAUUUCUUCGGAAAGACACUAAGGGGAGUAGUGGUGAACGGGUGAGUAACGCGUGUGUAACGUGCCUUACACAAGGGGAUAGCAUUUGGAAACGACGAAUAAUCUUCUAUAAAAACAUAAAAGCACAUGAUAGACUGGUCAAAGUGACAGAGCUGUACGAUGGACUUGUGUCUGAUUAGCUAGUUGGUGAGCUAACAGCUCACCAAGGCAACGAUCAGUAGCCGGCUUGAGAGAGUGUACGACCACAUAGGGACUGAGGCACGACCCAGUCUCCGACGAUAGACGACAGUGGGGAAGUGUGCACAAUGGGGAGAAACCAGAUGCAUCGACGCCUCGUGAUUUAUAAGUCCAGCGGAUUGUAAAAAACUUUUGUAUAGGAAGAAAAUGACAGUACUAUACGAGUAAGGGCCGGCUAAUUACGUG